This 460-nucleotide ribosomal RNA is filed under the name uncultured bacterium. RNAcentral describes it as "partial 16S ribosomal RNA". It matches the Rfam family "Bacterial small subunit ribosomal RNA", at positions 338 to 795 of the family's 1533-position model. The record is from RNAcentral.
CCUACGGGAGGCAGCAGUGAGGAAUAUUGGUCAAUGGACGCAAGUCUGAACCAGCCAAGUAGCGUGAAGGAUGACGGCCCUAUGGGUUGUAAACUGCUUUUAUACGGGAAUAAACUGAGCCACGUGUGGCUUUUUGUAUGUACCGUAUGAAUAAGGAUCGGCUAACUCCGUGCCAGCAGCCGCGGUAAUACGGAGGGUCCGGGCGUUAUCCGGAUUUAUUGGGUUUAAAGGGAGCGUAGGUGGAUUGUUAAGGCAGUUGUGAAAGUCCGCGGCUCAACCGUGAAACUGCAGUUGAAACUGGCAGUCUUGAGUACAGUAGAGGUAGGCGGAAUUCGUGGUGUAGCGGUGAAAUGCUUAGAUAUCACGAAGAACUCCGAUUGCGAAGGCAGCUUACUGGACUGCAACUGACACUGAGGCUCGAAAGUGUGGGUAUCAAACAGGAUUAGAUACCCGUGUAGUC